Molecule: ribosomal RNA, 229 nt
Filed under: uncultured bacterium
Lineage: Bacteria
Description: partial 16S ribosomal RNA
Rfam family: Bacterial small subunit ribosomal RNA
Source: RNAcentral
UAACACGUAGGUAACCUGCCCAUGUGUCCGGAUAACUGCUGGAAACGGUAGCUAAAACCGGAUAGGUAUACAGAGCGCAUGCUCAGUAUAUUAAAGCGCCCUUCAAGGCGUGAACAUGGAUGGACCUGCGGCGCAUUAGCUAGUUGGUGAGGUAACGGCCCACCAAGGCGAUGAUGCGUAGCCGGCCUGAGAGGGUAAACGGCCACAUUGGGACUGAGACACGGCCCAA